RNAcentral lists this ribosomal RNA (18 nucleotides) under Cladosporium oxysporum. RNAcentral describes it as "partial 28S ribosomal RNA". RNAcentral also lists the same sequence under 2 other names. Lineage: Eukaryota; Fungi; Ascomycota; Dothideomycetes; Cladosporiales; Cladosporiaceae. The record is from RNAcentral.
CAGGUAGGGAUACCCGCU